This 264-nucleotide ribosomal RNA is filed under the name uncultured Atopobium sp. RNAcentral's name for it is "partial 16S ribosomal RNA". It matches the Rfam family "Bacterial small subunit ribosomal RNA", at positions 92 to 354 of the family's 1533-position model. The record is from RNAcentral. Lineage: Bacteria; Bacillati; Actinomycetota; Coriobacteriia; Coriobacteriales; Atopobiaceae.
AAAGUGGCGAACGGCUGAGUAACACGUGGGCAACCUGCCCUUUGCACUGGGAUAGCCUCGGGAAACCGAGGUUAAUACCGGAUACUCCAUAUUUGUCGCAUGGCGAAUAUGGGAAAGCUCCGGCGGCAAAGGAUGGGCCCGCGGCCUGUUAGCUAGUUGGUGGGGUAGUGGCCUACCAAGGCAAUGAUGGGUGGCCGGGUUGAGAGACCGACCGGCCAGAUUGGGACUGAGACACGGCCCAGACUCCUACGGGAGGCAGCAGAU